Maylandia zebra (zebra mbuna) is the source of this 776-nucleotide non-coding RNA. The record is from RefSeq and is a predicted model, not a curated record. NCBI's taxonomy places the organism in Eukaryota, Metazoa, Chordata, Actinopteri, Cichliformes, Cichlidae.
ACUGCAGUGGGCCUCUGACCAAAGCAGCCAGUCAUUUUACAAUAUGAGCCUAUCCCUAACCGUGCUGAUGAUGACCUCUGUGUUGUUGGUGCUGUCAUUAGGACUUUUUGACUUUACAGUUGGAAGUCAUCUGCGAAGGGUUUCGUUUUUUUUAAGUAAAGAUGACGACAAAAUGAACUGGAUGGAUUCACUGAACAAGUGUAAAAGCAAUGACAGUUCAUUGGUAACUGUGUAUCAUCAAGAGGACUUAGGUGCUCUUUUAAAGAAUGUGCCUGGAGAGGAGGGGGUUCAGUUUUGGUCAGGGCUGCGUAAGAAUCAAAGCAGUGUCACGACUUGGUCAGAUGGAAACUCACUUGCAUUUAAUAACUCACAAGUAACUAGUAUUGGUGAUGACCAAAUCUGUGAAGCUAUGACAAACAUAACAUGGAAAGCUUUCAACUGUUCGGACAGGAAGCCUUUCAUGUGCUACAAAGAUAAUAAUUAUAUACUGAUUGAUAAGGAAAAGGACUGGUGCCAGGCACUGCAGUACUGUAGAAGACAUUACACUGAUUUAGUGAGCAUCAGUAAUGAGACCCAAAACAAUGACGUGUCUGAAAAAGGAAAAAACAAAACCUUUUGGAUUGGGCUUCAACACGAUCAGUGGACAUGGGUAGAUGGAAGUUGCUCUACAUACAGAAACUGGCCGAAGAAUAAUAAUAAUAAUCCAGAGUGUGCUACCUUUGAUUUGAAUAAUCUGCAUAAAGUGCGGUGUGCCAUAGACGGAGGAAUAUUUUGCA